GACGAACGCUGGCGGCGUGCUUAACACAUGCAAGUCGAACGGAAAGGCCCUGCUUUUGUGGGGUGCUCGAGUGGCGAACGGGUGAGUAACACGUGAGUAACCUGCCCUUGACUUUGGGAUAACUUCAGGAAACUGGGGCUAAUACCGGAUAGGAGCUCCUGCUGCAUGGUGGGGGUUGGAAAUUUUCGGCGGUUGGGGAUGGACUCGCGGCUUAUCAGCUUGUUGGUGGGGUAGUGGCUUACCAAGGCUUUGACGGGUAGCCGGCCUGAGAGGGUGACCGGCCACAUUGGGACUGAGAUACGGCCCAGACUCCUACGGGAGGCAGCAGUGGGGAAUAUUGCACAAUGGGCGGAAGCCUGAGGCAGCAACGCCGCGUGCGGGAUGACGGCCUUCGGGUUGUAAACCGCUUUCGCCUGUGACGAAGCGUGAGUGACGGUAAUGGGUAAAGAAGCACCGGCUAACUACGUG
This 468-nucleotide ribosomal RNA is filed under the name uncultured bacterium. RNAcentral describes it as "partial 16S ribosomal RNA". It matches the Rfam family "Bacterial small subunit ribosomal RNA", at positions 28 to 507 of the family's 1533-position model. The record is from RNAcentral.